CGUCAAGAUCGGAGGCAAACCUUCAUCGAAUCUAACAUCCACGACGGCUCCGAUCACCUGGCACACCUGCCCGAUGGCUCCAGCGCCUGUGAACUCGUCUGUAAUCUUGCCGCUGGGACCAGCCCCCUUGGCGGCAGAGGGAGUUGAGGCCGCAGGAGCGGCGGCGGAGGCGGAGCUGGCAUAGUUAGCCGCGCGGGCGAGGAGGUGGCCGACAGGAGAAGGACGAGGGAGUGGAGAUCUAGGGUUGGAGAGUACGGACCUGGAGAUCGGACGGCGGACGGAGGUCCGGAGAAGAGAUGAGAGAAGCUUUCGAGAAG
RNAcentral lists this long non-coding RNA (317 nucleotides) under Vitis vinifera (wine grape). RNAcentral's name for it is "long non-coding RNA (VVIN_LNC005641)". Lineage: Eukaryota; Viridiplantae; Streptophyta; Magnoliopsida; Vitales; Vitaceae. The record is from RNAcentral.